This 460-nucleotide ribosomal RNA is filed under the name uncultured bacterium. RNAcentral's name for it is "partial 16S ribosomal RNA". It matches the Rfam family "Bacterial small subunit ribosomal RNA", at positions 338 to 795 of the family's 1533-position model. The record is from RNAcentral.
CCUACGGGUGGCAGCAGUGAGGAAUAUUGGUCAAUGGGCGCGAGCCUGAACCAGCCAAGUAGCGUGAAGGAUGACUGCCCUACGGGUUGUAAACUUCUUUUAUAAAGGAAUAAAGUGAGGCACGUGUGCCUUUUUGUAUGUACUUUUUGAAUAAGGAUCGGCUAAUUACGUGCCAGCAGCCGCGGUAAUACGGAGGAUCCGAGCGUUAUCCGGAUUUAUUGGGUUGAAAGGGAGCGUAGAUGGGUUGUUAAGUCAGUUGUGAAAGUUUGCGGCGCAACCGUAGAAUUGCAAUUGAUACUGGCAGCCUUGAGUACAGGUGAGGUAGGCGGAAUUCGUGGUGUAGCGGUGAAAUGCUUAGAUAUCACGAAGAACGCCGAUUGCGAAGGCAGCUUACUAAACUGCCACUGACGUUGAUGCUCGAAAGUGUGGGUAUCAAACAGGAUUAGAUACCCGUGUAGUC